AGACACUUAGGUUGAUACUUAAACCAAGGGCCUUCAAAGCCCUAAACAGGAGUGACUAAUCUCCUAGUCUCUG
This 73-nucleotide transfer RNA is filed under the name Homopholis walbergii. RNAcentral describes it as "tRNA-Trp". The record is from RNAcentral. Lineage: Eukaryota; Metazoa; Chordata; Lepidosauria; Squamata; Gekkonidae.